AACACUGUUCAUCCGCCGUUCGUGCGAAUCGUCAAAGAAGUUCAUCACAUCAGUCCGCCAUCUUCCUCAGCGCAGAAUUUUAUUUUUUGAAAAGGAUUUUUCGGAGAUUUAUUGCUUUAUUUAAAAAGGAAAUCGGAUAUCAGGAAUCCCUGACGAAACCCGAAUAUUCGGAAUCCCCAACUCGGGAGUUCUUUUGUGCAGACAUUGCGGCACCCAAAACUACGUUAAAAAAUCGUUCCGGGCGAUGAGAAGCGGCCAAGAUUCCACCCCUUGCAAUCCGUAGAAAGUGAUUUGUCCUCGGAAGCCUUUUUCCUCGGUCUUCAGUAACCCCGUUCGGAAUGCAUUUUCUAGAAAAAAUCAGGAACCAAUUGACACCGUAAGCGUAGCACGAUUUGUAGGACAAGUAUCUCAAGGAUGAUAUACCGGUCGCAUGGGUUGCAUACUCAUCACAUCUGCGGGGUGUAUGUUGGAGGCACCUGAAAUUGAAGGGAUUUUUUCAACAUUCAACUAUGUAGUCCAGAGCUAGCUGAUGUUAAAUAUUUUCUAAAGAUAGUCCGGAAUUUGCAUGAAAAACGAAGACUUUACCGUUUGAAGUGACGCCGAAGAAAUGCAAACAAAUAUGUAUAUUUUCUCAAGUUUUCGUUGUGAACGACUUUGAGCCAGAAUCAUCCUCGUACUAACACAAUCGAGAAGGCUAACGAGGGAUCUCCACACAAACAUGCGAUUCGUCGAAGAAGUUGUUAUCAUUCCUACCACGCCCCUGCGCAACAAAAUUGCCGUGUUCGAGCCACAUUUGAUGAAGAGUCUGCGUCUCUCCCACCAAGCUGCAGGAAAAGUAUGAACGCUGGGUUAACUUUGUACCGAAAGUGUCCGUUCUGGAGCAGAACACCAUCAAUCUUGAUCCGAGAUCGAGGAGUUGUUGGACUUCAACAACAUUAUUGUUCAGAUCACGAAUCCUUCCGCACAAUGUUACAAUCGACGCAGCAAAGUUUAUCCAAAUAUUUUGAUUAUUUGGUCGGGAAGCACAAUCUAUUUUGAUUUCCCCUCUGUCGGAAGUCUGAACCCAAAAUGUUCCUCGCCAAGUGGAAAUUGUAGUAGUCAGCGAGUGGAACAUGCCGCCCUGACUUUUGAAGUGAUUCAUCCGGCGAACCUUGGAUAUUGCAUAGUAGCGCAGCGUAUGACGUCACCCAAGACCCAUGAAGCGGAUUCCGAGCCGCUCGGCUAUGUUGUUUUCCACGAUGGCAACUCAUCUGAAACCGACCUGCGAGUUUCGAGUAAGAAGCCGCUGACCUUUCGCCUUAUCGUAAGGUCAUAUUCACAAUGGCUUUUGCCCUGGCUGAUAUUGCCAUUACAUUUCAGACUGAUCAGGACAACGCAUCAAAAAUUAAAAAAACUAAAAAUGGUCACUGAAUUGCACUGGACCGCUUCAGCUGGCUAUAAAAACCCAUCUGUGGGCAUAACAUUAUGUUAAUUAUAGAAAUUUAUAUUAUAAUAUAAUAGAUAAAUCGAUAAAUAAUUGUUUUUAUAUUAAAUAUCAUGCCAAUUCAAUGAUAAUAAAUUUAAA
Molecule: long non-coding RNA, 1564 nt
Organism: Armigeres subalbatus
Lineage: Eukaryota; Metazoa; Arthropoda; Insecta; Diptera; Culicidae
Exons: 4
Source: RefSeq, a predicted model, not a curated record